Molecule: ribosomal RNA, 253 nt
Filed under: uncultured bacterium
Lineage: Bacteria
Description: partial 16S ribosomal RNA
Rfam family: Bacterial small subunit ribosomal RNA
Source: RNAcentral
UACGGGGGGGGCAAGCGUUGUUCGGAAUUACUGGGCGUAAAGGGCGCGUAGGCGGUUGGAUAAGUCAGGGGUGAAAUACCGCGGCUCAACCGUGGAAUUGCCUUUGAAACUACCGGACUUGAGGCCGUGAGAGGAGACUGGAAUUCCCAGUGUAGCGGUGAAAUGCAUAGAUAUUGGGAAGAACACCAGUGGCGAAGGCGAGUCUCUGGCACGGUUCUGACGCUGAGGCGCGAAAGCUAGGGGAGCAAACGGG